UACGGAGGAUGCGAGCGUUAUCCGGAUUUAUUGGGUUUAAAGGGUGCGUAGGUGGUUAAUUAAGUCAGCGGUGAAAGUUUGUGGCUCAACCAUAAAAUUGCCGUUGAAACUGCAGGACUUGAGUGAAGUAGAGGUAGGCGGAAUUCCCGGUGUAGCGGUGAAAUGCAUAGAUAUCACGCAGAACUCCGAUUGCGAAGGCAGCUUACUAAACUAUAACUGACACUGAAGCACGAAAGCGUGGGGAUCAA
Molecule: ribosomal RNA, 248 nt
Filed under: uncultured Parabacteroides sp.
Lineage: Bacteria; Pseudomonadati; Bacteroidota; Bacteroidia; Bacteroidales; Tannerellaceae
Description: partial 16S ribosomal RNA
Rfam family: Bacterial small subunit ribosomal RNA
Source: RNAcentral